CACUAUAUAAAAGUUAGUCAACUUCACGCAAUCUCCCUGAUUUGGGAACUGUUGAUCCAUAAUUUUUACAUCACUUACCCGUGGGCCUUUGCCUUCUAUUUUAGAUUUUCCUUUUUUUUUGUUUGCUUAAUCUUUGAAAUUUGCCAUUCAGGCUACCGGUUGUCUUGUGAGAUCUUCCCGGUUUCUGUUUUGUUGGAGCCGGUCAAGGAUUAGUUAGUUAUAUUUCUACCGCGUGUCCACUACACGUCAUCACUCCAUCUAGAAACAAUUUUACGUGUCCGUCCUGAUUCCACUAUGGAAUAAUCGAGAGAUCUAUAGCAUUAAUUUCGGUUAAGAUUACGAUAGAGCCACAUCAAAAAAAAAAAACAGUCAGUUGCAUCCCCAUGAGGCCACGACCCUACCCGUAUCUCCUCCAUCUCCUUCUUUCAUCAUUCGUCUUCCACCAAACAGGGAUCUCCGCCGCCCACGCCGUCUUUGCCACCCCUUCCUGCAAGAGCGGACGUCGGCGACCUCCUUUGGCUAGGCAGCCGUGUGUUGGCCUUGGGUCUUUCUUUGGCAGCAUGGCGUCGUCUUACUGCAAGAUUGGCUUGCUCGUUGCCUUUUGUUCCUGUCCUGUUUCCUCUCUAGGUUGACUUCUCCGAGGAGUUCUUGCAGGCCUUGCCAGGUUUAUUGGGAUCGGCUUCUCUUCACAGUGCUCCUCUUUUGAUUUAUUGUUUCAUGUCGUUGAUUUAUGUUUGGAUUGGGUAUAUGCCUGUCCUUCUGCAGCUUGGCCAGAUCUGCAUGAUGCACCGCUACCGCAUCGCCGCCCGAAGCUUCGUUGGAGGCGAGGGAAGGUUUUAUGCUGCUGCUCCAGCUCGUGCUACCACGUUUCGAUGCGGGAGAGGAGGGCCGGACCUGGCCGAGCUCGCCGUUGAGGCGCUGCUGGAGCACAAUUGCCUCGCGGCUGGACAGACCCACAGGGCGGAACGUCAGGUACCCGUCCGCCGGAGAUGCCAGUGCAGAUGGCGGCGGCGCCUUCGAGCUGUCGGUCCGCCGCAGGGCCUAUCUUCUCCCUUUUCUCCCUCAGGCACCGCGCCGCCAUGGCCGCCCUUCCUUCUCCGGCCGGUUCCGCGGCAUGGCUUCCUCGGGUGAAGUAGGCCGCCGGGGCAAAUAGCUGCUGCUGCAGGGGAAAACAGAGCAGGAUGUCCACUCGCGCGGCGAAAGACAAACUGCGGGGAGCACGAGGGGGAGACGGGCUGGGCGAUGUGGAGGUGAGACAGUGCAGCGCUGCUCCUUGCUGCGGCGGCUCAAGGUGCUAGGCGUGGUGGUGAUGUAUCAAGGCAGGACGCGAUGGUUGCUGCUGGUGCUUGCUCGGCUCGGCUCGGUGGUUGGAUCGAUUUGCUUGGUGGAGAGAUUAGCAUGCCAGAGCGAGCAGCAGCGCGGCGCGUGAUGCCAGAGUGCGGCGCGUGCGCGCGUGCGGCGCCGCCAAAACAUUUAGCUCGUGCGCGGUGCAAACGCGGCAAACCGCAAAGAUAUUGCGGUCGUGUGCAGCGCAAACGCGGCUCCCGCGGUGUGUCCCGCCUGCAGCGUGAGUUUGCACCACAUCAUUCGCUCACUCUGCCCACUGCUUCCUUUGUUUGUUGUUCCGGAUGGUUCUCCGAUACGGAUGCUGGCAGGCGAAACCACUGAGAGGUCCGUCUAUGCAAGCAUCUGGUUGGCUGCUCUAAUGACUUGCUUUUAUUGAUUCAGCUGUACUUUCAUCUCAGCCUGCGUCCGUCGGCGUUGAAAACAAGAUGACGAUGAAGAAAGAAGAAAGCAAGCACACCACCGCAUCUCCCUUCGAUGACGACGCUGAGUCCUUCAAGAACGAUGGCGAACCUUCAGUCUGUCGCUCCAGAUCUUGCCAUCUACGAUGAGAACUCCGACGCCGAGCACUACUGAUGCGCCAAGAAGCAGAAAUAUUCCUUCCUUAUUGUCCUACUUUUUUGCCUGCUUAUUUAGCUAGGACAACCGGAUAUGUAUCAUGUGAAGUCGACGUAAUCUACCUUUUGCUGUAUCCGUUUAGACUA
This is a non-coding RNA of Lolium perenne, 2048 nucleotides long. The record is from RefSeq and is a predicted model, not a curated record. Lineage: Eukaryota; Viridiplantae; Streptophyta; Magnoliopsida; Poales; Poaceae.